UUCUGGCUCAGGAUAAACGCUGGCGGCGCACAUAAGACAUGCAAGUCGAACGAACUUAACUAUUUGUUUACAAAUAGAGCGGUUAGUGGCGGACUGGUGAGUAAUACGUAAGUAACCUGCCUAUUAGAGGGGAACGACAGUUAGAAAUGACUGCUAAUACCGCAUAUGCCAUAAAAAUCACAUGAUUUUAGUGGGAAAGGAGCAAUCCGCUAAUAGAUGGACUUACGCCUGAUUAGAUAGUUGGUGGGGUAAAGGCCUACCAAGUCAACGAUCAGUAGCCGAACUGAGAGGUUGAACGGCCACAUUGGGACUGAGAUACGGCCCAGACUCCUACGGGAGGCAGCAGUCGGGAUAUUGCGCAAUGGAGGAAACUCUGACGCAGUGACGCCGCGUGCAGGAAGAAGGUUUUCGGAUUGUAAACUGCUUUAGACAGGGAAGAAAAAUGACAGUACCUGUAGAAUAAGCUCCGGCUAACUACGUGCCAGCAGCCGCGGUAAUACGUAGGGAGCAAGCGUUAUCCGGAUUUAUUGGGUGUAAAGGGUGCGUAGACGGAGAUACAAGUUGGUCGUGAAAUCCCUCGGCUCAACUGAGGAACUGCAACCAAAACUAUAUCCCUUGAGUACUGGAGGGGAAAGCGGAAUUCCUAGUGUAGCGGUGAAAUGCGUAGAUAUUAGGAGGAACACCGGUGGCGAAGGCGGCUUUCUGGACAGUAACUGACGCUGAGGCACGAAAGUGUGGGGAGCAAACAGGAUUAGAUACCCUGGUAGUCCACACUGUAAACGAUGGAUACUGGGUGUAGGGGAUGAUAAAUCCUCUGUGCCGUCGCAAACGCAGUAAGUAUCCCACCUGGGGAGUACGGCCGCAAGGUUGCAACUCAAAUGAAUUGACGGA
This 891-nucleotide ribosomal RNA is filed under the name uncultured Bacillota bacterium. Its description in RNAcentral is "bacterial SSU rRNA". It matches the Rfam family "Bacterial small subunit ribosomal RNA", at positions 17 to 917 of the family's 1533-position model. Lineage: Bacteria; Bacillati; Bacillota. The record is from RNAcentral.